GAUGAACGCUGGCGGCGUGCCUAAUACAUGCAAGUCGAGCGAACAGACGAGGAGCUUGCUUCUCUGACGUUAGCGGCGGACGGGUGAGUAACACGUGGAUAACCUACCUAUAAGACUGGGAUAACUUCGGGAAACCGGAGCUAAUACCGGAUAAUAUUUUGAACCGCAUGGUUCAAUAGUGAAAGACGGUUUUGCUGUCACUUAUAGAUGGAUCCGCGCUGCAUUAGCUAGUUGGUAAGGUAACGGCUUACCAAGGCAACGAUGCGUAGCCGACCUGAGAGGGUGAUCGGCCACACUGGAACUGAGACACGGUCCAGACUCCUACGGGAGGCAGCAGUAGGGAAUCUUCCGCAAUGGGCGAAAGCUUGACGGAGCAACGCCGCGUGAGUGAUGAAGGUCUUCGGAUCGUAAAACUCUGUUAUUAGGGAAGAACAAAUGUGUAAGUAACUAUGCACAUCUUGACGGUACCUAAUCAGAAAGCCACGGCUAACUACGUG
RNAcentral lists this ribosomal RNA (497 nucleotides) under uncultured bacterium. RNAcentral's name for it is "partial 16S ribosomal RNA". It matches the Rfam family "Bacterial small subunit ribosomal RNA", at positions 28 to 507 of the family's 1533-position model. The record is from RNAcentral.